This is a non-coding RNA of Acanthosepion pharaonis, 113 nucleotides long. NCBI's taxonomy places the organism in Eukaryota, Metazoa, Mollusca, Cephalopoda, Sepiida, Sepiidae. The record is from the annotation of a GenBank genome assembly.
UACGGAGAUAUCACGUUGAAACACCGACUCUCGUACGAUCACCGAAGUUAAGCAACGUCGAGCCUGAUCAGUGCCUACAUGGGUGACAGCUCGGGAAUUCCAGGUGCUGCAAG